UUUUAUUAUUUAAAGGAAAGUUGGACACUAUUUUGAAUAGUGUCCAGCUUUCCUUUAAAAAUUUUAAUGCGGACGCUGUUAUAAAUAGUGUCCAAACCUUACAAAGACUAAUAAUUAGUGUCCCGUACUCACCUCAGCGUAACUCACCCUUUUUUUAUAAUUAUUUUCAAACUCACCUGUUUUUGGUAUUUUUUUUAUUUUCGAUUACACCUUUUUUAUCAAAAGCCGGAAAAAAGGAGAGUCAAUCCUGAGGGGAAGCAUUGAAAUAGUUCAUCACCGCCUCUCACUGAUUCUAAAAACUUCUUCAAGCUUGCAAAAGUCUAGCAUGUUAGAGAAACUUCAUCACUACCAUUCUAGAUGUUUUAAGGGUCUUCAACACCAAUUUUACUUUGGUUGCUGACUUAACGUACCUAUAAAGAAGUGUUUGUAUGUGCAGUUGUGAUGUGCGAGUGAAUGAGUGCAAACAAGUGUGAGUGUACUAGAGUCUAAGAGUGUGAAUUGUGAGUGUGCACGUGAAGAGAGUGAGCGUCUUAAGAGUGAAACUCUUGUUCGUGUGUGACUACUAGUGUGAGUGAAAGAAAUACUAAAGCGUGAUGCUGAAGUGUGAGCUUGAAUUGUAAAUUCUCUUUAAUCACUCCUAAUAAAACUUUAUUUUCACUCAAGUCCAUUUUGAGUUUUGAGCUUUCUAUUUCUUCCCGCUCCCAAUUUUUCAACAUUAAUUUGACAAAGAAGACUACUUUUUUAUCAUUUAGAUAAGAAACUAAUAUAUUUAGAUACUUAAAAAUAUGUGAAUUUGGAAGGAAAUGAUAGAUGUUGAGUGCAAUAAUAGAAGAAUAAUUAUAGUUAAAUUAAAAUCAAAACCCUAGAGGAAAUUUCAAAGCCUCAAAAGCCAAGAAAGGAAAAAAGAAACUAAGAAUAGUCAUUAAUUCAACUAAUGAUUAGGAUAGAUUCAGUUACCUAGAGAGUCUCCUGCCUCAAACA
RNAcentral lists this unclassified non-coding RNA (981 nucleotides) under Hevea brasiliensis (rubber tree). Lineage: Eukaryota; Viridiplantae; Streptophyta; Magnoliopsida; Malpighiales; Euphorbiaceae. The record is from RNAcentral.